AGUGAACGCUGGCGGUAGGCCUAACACAUGCAAGUCGAACGGCAGCACAGUAAGAGCUUGCUCUUACGGGUGGCGAGUGGCGGACGGGUGAGGAAUACAUCGGAAUCUACUUUUUCGUGGGGGAUAACGUAGGGAAACUUACGCUGAUACCGCAUACGACCUACGGGUGAAAGCAGGGGAUCUUCGGACCUUGCGCGAUUGAAUGAGCCGAUGUCGGAUUAGCUAGUUGGCGGGGUAAAGGCCCACCAAGGCGACGAUCCGUAGCUGGUCUGAGAGGAUGAUCAGCCACACUGGAACUGAGACACGGUCCAGACUCCUACGGGAGGCAGCAGUGGGGAAUAUUGGACAAUGGGCGCAAGCCUGAUCCAGCCAUACCGCGUGGGUGAAGAAGGCCUUCGGGUUGUAAAGCCCUUUUGUUGGGAAAGAAAAGCAGCAGGUUAAUACCUCGCUGUUCUGACGGUACCCAAAGAAUAAGCACCGGCUAACUUCGUG
RNAcentral lists this ribosomal RNA (492 nucleotides) under uncultured bacterium. RNAcentral describes it as "partial 16S ribosomal RNA". It matches the Rfam family "Bacterial small subunit ribosomal RNA", at positions 29 to 507 of the family's 1533-position model. The record is from RNAcentral.